CCCUUAGAUGUUCUGGGCCGCACGCGCGCUACACUGAUGCAUUCAACGAGCCUAUCCUUGACCGACAGGUCCGGGUAAUCUUUGAAUCUGCAUCGUGACGGGGAUAGAUUAUUGCAAUUAUUAAUCUUCAACGAGGAAUGCCUAGUAGGCGCAAGUCAUCAGCUUGCGUCGAUUACGUCCCUGCCCUUUGUACACACCGCCCGUCGCUCCUACCGAUUGGGUGUGCUGGUGAAAUGUUCCGAUCGGCCGUUUGUCGCGGUUUCCGCGUCAUGUGGCUGAGAAGUUCAUUAAACCCUCCCACCUAGAGGAAGGAGAAGUCGUAACA
This 325-nucleotide ribosomal RNA is filed under the name uncultured eukaryote. Its description in RNAcentral is "partial 18S ribosomal RNA". It matches the Rfam family "Eukaryotic small subunit ribosomal RNA", at positions 1470 to 1796 of the family's 1831-position model. The record is from RNAcentral.